AGUGAACGCUGGCGGUAGGCCUAACACAUGCAAGUCGAACGGCAGCACAGUAAGAGCUUGCUCUUACGGGUGGCGAGUGGCGGACGGGUGAGGAAUACAUCGGAAUCUACUUUUUCGUGGGGGAUAACGUAGGGAAACUUACGCUAAUACCGCAUACGAUCUACGGGUGAAAGCAGGAGAUCUUCGGACCUUGCGUGAUAGAAUGAGCCGAUGUCGGAUUAGCUAGUUGGCGGGGUAAAGGCCCACCAAGGCGACGAUCCGUAGCUGGUCUGAGAGGAUGAUCAGCCACACUGGAACUGAGACACGGUCCAGACUCCUACGGGAGGCAGCAGUGGGGAAUAUUGGACAAUGGGCGCAAGCCUGAUCCAGCCAUACCGCGUGGGUGAAGAAGGCCUUCGGGUUGUAAAGCCCUUUUGUUGGGGAAGAAAAGCAGCAGAUUAAUACCCCGCUGUUCUGACGGUACCCAAAGAAUAAGCACCGGCUAACUUCGUG
RNAcentral lists this ribosomal RNA (492 nucleotides) under uncultured bacterium. Its description in RNAcentral is "partial 16S ribosomal RNA". It matches the Rfam family "Bacterial small subunit ribosomal RNA", at positions 29 to 507 of the family's 1533-position model. The record is from RNAcentral.